AAAAAAAAAAAAAAAGGAGCUGUGAAGAAUCAGAAAGUGAUUCUUUGCCAGCUGAUUCAUGCUAAUUUUGUUGAAAAAGGAUUCAGUUCUUCUUGUAUGUUAAAUUGGAUUUUGAGAAGACAAUUAUGCAAAUGAAAAAUUUUUGACAAGUUACUUUAUUUUUUUCAUCUCGGUUGAUACAGUAUGUAUUUUAAACCUCAGGUUUAUGUCACUAAGAAGCAUUUCUGUACCUCAUUGAAAG
This 241-nucleotide unclassified non-coding RNA is filed under the name Hevea brasiliensis (rubber tree). Lineage: Eukaryota; Viridiplantae; Streptophyta; Magnoliopsida; Malpighiales; Euphorbiaceae. The record is from RNAcentral.